RNAcentral lists this ribosomal RNA (253 nucleotides) under uncultured bacterium. RNAcentral's name for it is "partial 16S ribosomal RNA". It matches the Rfam family "Bacterial small subunit ribosomal RNA", at positions 524 to 776 of the family's 1533-position model. The record is from RNAcentral.
UACGGAGGGUGCAAGCGUUAUCCGGAUUCACUGGGUUUAAAGGGUGCGUAGGCGGGCAGGUAAGUCCGUGGUGAAAUCUCCGGGCUUAACCCGGAAACUGCCAUUGAUACUAUGUGUCUUGAAUACUGUGGAGGUCAGCGGAAUAUGUCAUGUAGCGGUGAAAUGCUUAGAUAUGACAUAGAACACCAAUUGCGAAGGCAGCUGGCUACACAAAUAUUGACACUGAGGCACGAAAGCGUGGGGAUCAAGCAGG